AUUGAACGCUGGCGGCAUGCUUUACACAUGCAAGUCGAACGGCAGCGGGGGCUUCGGCCUGCCGGCGAGUGGCGAACGGGUGAGUAAUGCAUCGGAACGUGCCCAUGUCGUGGGGGAUAACGUAGCGAAAGCUACGCUAAUACCGCAUACGUCCUGAGGGAGAAAGCGGGGGGAUCUUCGGACCUCGCGCGAUUGGAGCGGCCGAUGUCGGAUUAGCUAGUUGGUGGGGUAAAGGCCCACCAAGGCGACGAUCCGUAGCGGGUCUGAGAGGAUGAUCCGCCACACUGGGACUGAGACACGGCCCAGACUCCUACGGGAGGCAGCAGUGGGGAAUAUUGCGCAAUGGGCGAAAGCCUGACGCAGCGACGCCGCGUGAGGGGACGACGGGCCUUCGGGUUGGUUAAACCGUA
RNAcentral lists this ribosomal RNA (410 nucleotides) under uncultured bacterium. RNAcentral's name for it is "bacterial SSU rRNA". It matches the Rfam family "Bacterial small subunit ribosomal RNA", at positions 28 to 434 of the family's 1533-position model. The record is from RNAcentral.